This 759-nucleotide ribosomal RNA is filed under the name uncultured bacterium. RNAcentral's name for it is "bacterial SSU rRNA". It matches the Rfam family "Bacterial small subunit ribosomal RNA", at positions 564 to 1305 of the family's 1533-position model. The record is from RNAcentral.
AGCGUAUGUUAGGCGGGACUUGUUAGUCGUGGGUCAAAUUUCAGAGCUCAACCCUGAAGCUGCUCACGAAACUGCAUGUCUAGAGAAAGUGAGAGAUGACUGGAACUCAUGGGUUAGUAGGUAAAAGCGUUGAUAUCUGGAGGAACACCAAGGGGAAAGGCGGUCAUUGGGACUUUUCUGACGCUGAAAUACCAAAGCGUGGGUAGGGAAUGGGAUUAGAUACCCCUGUAGUCCCCGCCGUAAACGAUGCAUAUUCAGCAUGUGGAGUAUCGACCCCCUGCGUGUUUUAGCUAACGCGUUAAAUAUGCCGCCUGGGAAAGUACGGCGCAAGCUUAAAACUCAAAGGAAUUGCGGGGAUCCGCACAAGUGGUGGAGCAUGUGGUUAAUUCGACAAUAACCCAGAAAACUCUCCCUGACUUUGACCUUACCUGCAUGCCUUAGAAAUAAGGCCGCCUUCGAGGGUGCUAACCAGGUGCUGCAUGGUGGUUGGCUGCUCGCGCCUCAAGGUGUUCCCUUAAGUGUGGAAACCAGCGACACCCUUGUCCCGUGUCAUAUGUGGCCCACAUGACUGCCGAGACUUUAGACUGACUGUCGAUUGAUUCCCAGAUGAAGGUCUGGAAGAAAGGAGAGGAUGACGUCCUAUCUGCAUGGCCCUUGACGCCCUGUACAACGCACGGGCUACAGUGGAUACAAUAAAGAGGUGCCAACCCAUCCGUAGGACCUGAUUCCGUCCAGAUAGUCUCAUGCCGGAUUGCAGCC